Molecule: ribosomal RNA, 765 nt
Filed under: uncultured bacterium
Lineage: Bacteria
Description: bacterial SSU rRNA
Rfam family: Bacterial small subunit ribosomal RNA
Source: RNAcentral
UCGAGGGGCAGCGGGGGCGUAGCAAUAUGCCUGCCGGCGACCGGCGCUCGGGUGAGUAACACGUAUGUAACCUGCCCUAUGCAGGGGGAUAACCCGGAGAAAUCCGGCCUAAUACCGCGUAACACCUUUUGGGAGCAUUCCCGGGAGGUUAAAGGAGAGAUCCGGCAUAGGAUGGACAUGCGUCGCAUUAGGUAGACGGCGGGGUAACGGCCCACCGUGCCGACGAUGCGUAGGGGUUCUGAGAGGAAGGCCCCCCACACUGGUACUGAGACACGGACCAGACUCCUACGGGAGGCAGCAGUGAGGAAUAUUGGUCAAUGGCCGAGAGGCUGAACCAGCCAAGUCGCGUGAGGGAAGAAUGUCCUAAGGAUUGUAAACCUCUUUUGUCGGGGAGCAAAAAGGCUCUGCGGAGUCGUAUUGAGAGUACCCGAAGAAAAAGCAUCGGCUAACUCCGUGCCAGCAGCCGCGGUAAUACGGAGGAUGCGAGCGUUAUCCGGAUUUAUUGGGUUUAAAGGGUGCGCAGGCGGCGUGUCAAGCAAGCGGUAAAAUAGCGGGGCUCAACCCCGUCGAGCCGUUUGAACUGGCGCGCUUGAGUUCAGGCGAGGUAGGCGGAAUUCGUGGUGUAGCGGUGAAAUGCAUAGAUAUCACGAAGAACUCCGAUUGCGAAGGCAGCUUACCAGUCUGCGACUGACGCUCAGGCACGAAAGUGUGGGUAUCGAACAGGAUUAGAUACCCUGGUAGUCCACACAGUAAACGAUGAGCGCU